GACGAACGCUGGCGGCGUGCCUAAUACAUGCAAGUCGAGCGAGCGGAACUAACAGAUUUACUUCGGUAAUGACGUUAGGAAAGCGAGCGGCGGAUGGGUGAGUAACACGUGGGGAACCUGCCCCAUAGUCUGGGAUACCACUUGGAAACAGGUGCUAAUACCGGAUAAGAAAGCAGAUCGCAUGAUCAGCUUUUAAAAGGCGGCGUAAGCUGUCGCUAUGGGAUGGCCCCGCGGUGCAUUAGCUAGUCGGGAAGGGAAAGGCUUACCAAGGGGAUGAUGCAUAGCCGAGUUGAGAGACUGAUCGGCCACAUUGGGACUGAGACACGGCCCAAACUCCUACGGGAGGCAGCAGUAGGGAAUCUUCCACAAUGGACGCAAGUCUGAUGGAGCAACGCCCCGUGAGUGAAGAAGGGUUUCGGAUCGUAAAGCUCUGUUGUUGGUGAAGAAAGAUAGAGGUAGUAACUGGCCUUUAUUUGACGGUAAUCAACCAGAAAGUCACCGCUAACUACGUGGCACCAGCCGCGGGAAUACGUACGGGGCAAGCGGUGUCCGGAUUUAUUGGGCGUAAAGCGAGCGCAGGCGGAAGAAUAAGUCUGAUGUGAAAGCCCUCGGGUUAACCGAGGAACUGCAUCGGAAACUGUUUUUCUCGAGUGCAGAAGAGGAGAGUGGAACUCCAUGUGUAGCGGUGGAAUGCGUAGAUAUAUGGAAGAACACCAGUGGCGAAGGCGGCUCUCUGGUCUGCAACUGACGCUGAGGCUCGAAAGCAUGGGUAGCGAACAGGAUUAGAUACCCUGGUAGUCCAUGCCGUAAACGAUGAGUGCUAAGUGUUGGGAGGUUUCCGCCUCUCAGUGCUGCAGCUAACGCAUUAAGCACUCCGCCUGGGGAGUACGACCGCAAGGUUGAAACUCAAAGGAAUUGACGGGGGCCCGCACAAGCGGUGGAGCAUGUGGUUUAAUUCGAAGCAACGCGAAGAACCUUACCAGGUCUUGACAUCUAGUGCCAUUUGUAGAGAUACAAAGUUCCCUUCGGGGACGCUAAGACAGGUGGUGCAUGGCUGUCGUCAGCUCGUGUCGUGAGAUGUUGGGUUAAGUCCCGCAACGAGCGCAACCCUUGUUAUUAGUUGCCAGCAUUAAGUUGGGCACUCUAAUGAGACUGCCGGUGACAAACCGGAGGAAGGUGGGGAUGACGUCAAGUCAUCAUGCCCCUUAUGACCUGGGCUACACACGUGCUACAAUGGGCAGUACAACGAGAAGCGAGCCUGCGAAGGCAAGCGAAUCUCUGAAAGCUGUUUUCAGUUCGGACUGCAGUCUGCAACUCGACUGCACGAAGCUGGAAUCGCUAGUAAUCGCGGAUCAGCACGCCGCGGUGAAUACGUUCCCGGGCCU
RNAcentral lists this ribosomal RNA (1385 nucleotides) under uncultured bacterium. RNAcentral describes it as "bacterial SSU rRNA". It matches the Rfam family "Bacterial small subunit ribosomal RNA", at positions 28 to 1381 of the family's 1533-position model. The record is from RNAcentral.